This is a long non-coding RNA of Sapajus apella (tufted capuchin), 165 nucleotides long. RefSeq lists it as uncharacterized. NCBI's taxonomy places the organism in Eukaryota, Metazoa, Chordata, Mammalia, Primates, Cebidae. The transcript has 2 exons. The record is from RefSeq and is a predicted model, not a curated record.
AAUACAAAAAAUUAGCUGGGCAUGGUGGUGCAUGCCUGUAGUCCCAGCCACUCUGGAGGUUGGGGCAAGAUAAUUGCUUGAACCAGGGAGGUGGAGGUUGCAGUGAGCUGAGAUCGCACCAUUGCACUCCAGCCUAGGCGACAGAGCAAAACUCCAUCUCAAAAA